Molecule: ribosomal RNA, 497 nt
Filed under: uncultured bacterium
Lineage: Bacteria
Description: partial 16S ribosomal RNA
Rfam family: Bacterial small subunit ribosomal RNA
Source: RNAcentral
GACGAACGCUGGCGGCGUGCCUAAUACAUGCAAGUAGAACGCUGAAGAGAGGAGCUUGCUCUUCUUGGAUGAGUUGCGAACGGGUGAGUAACGCGUAGGUAACCUGCCUUGUAGCGGGGGAUAACUAUUGGAAACGAUAGCUAAUACCGCAUAACAAUGGAUGACACAUGUCAUUUAUUUGAAAGGGGCAAUUGCUCCACUACAAGAUGGACCUGCGUUGUAUUAGCUAGUAGGUGAGGUAAUGGCUCACCUAGGCGACGAUACAUAGCCGACCUGAGAGGGUGGUCGGCCACACUGGGACUGAGACACGGCCCAGACUCCUACGGGAGGCAGCAGUAGGGAAUCUUCGGCAAUGGGGGCAACCCUGACCGAGCAACGCCGCGUGAGUGAAGAAGGUUUUCGGAUCGUAAAGCUCUGUUGUAAGUCAAGAACGGGUGUGAGAGUGGAAAGUUCACACUGUGACGGUAGCUUACCAGAAAGAGACGGCUAACUACGUG